CCAGCCCUGAUGCUUCUUGAUUUCUUUCUUCUUGUGGGAGCAGCAUCCUGCCUUUUUCAGAUUCAAGACGGGUGUUCCUUCCACUGCUGGAUAAACCUUCAAGCUUUCCAUUCUUGCUUUCACUUUUGAUAUCUUUUUCUCGAAAGAGUUGCUCAUCAUUUGCAUUGGGAUGUUGCUGAGGAUUUAGGGGUCUACAUUGUAUCAUUUGACAGACCAGGGUAUGGGGAGAGUGAUCCUCAUCCAAGCCAAACUGUGAAGAGCCUGGCACUAGAUAUAGAAGAACUUGCUGAUAAAUUGGGACUAGGAUCCACAUUCUACAUAAUAGGUUUCUCUCUUGGGGGUCAGGUUGUUUGGAGGUGCCUUAAGUACAUCCCUCACAGAAUCUGUUGGUCCAGGCGGUCAAAACAAACUUUGAAUGAAUAUUAAUGUUAACUUCACGAGUGUAAAAUGCUGAGGUUUGGGAAAUUGGUGGGGUGAUUAUGCUUGUCUAUGACAUCAAGAUGAGUGGGGCAAUUGUACUUGUCAUACCAAAUUAUGCAAUACUUAAGACUCUCAUUUCUGUGUAAGUAUGCAGUACUUAAAGAAUUGUCUGCAAAAACUACACGAGGACAUCAAAUUUCUUGAAAUAAGUUAUAUGAAUCUAUGAGCCACUUUCUUUAUCUGUAUUCUUUAAAAUUUCAAUGG
Molecule: long non-coding RNA, 684 nt
Organism: Vigna umbellata (rice bean)
Lineage: Eukaryota; Viridiplantae; Streptophyta; Magnoliopsida; Fabales; Fabaceae
Source: RefSeq, a predicted model, not a curated record